RNAcentral lists this ribosomal RNA (408 nucleotides) under uncultured bacterium. RNAcentral's name for it is "partial 16S ribosomal RNA". It matches the Rfam family "Bacterial small subunit ribosomal RNA", at positions 28 to 526 of the family's 1533-position model. The record is from RNAcentral.
GACGAACGCUAGCGGCGUGCUUAACACCUGCAAGUCGAACGAAGUGGCGAACGGGUGAGUAACGCGUAAUCAACCUGCCCUUCAGAGGGGGACAACAGUUGGAAACGACUGCUAAUACCGCAUACUUAAGGAGGGGAUCGCUUCUGAUUAGCUAGUUGGAGGGGUAACGGCCUACCAAGGCGAUGAUCAGUAGCCGGUCUGAGAGGAUGAACGGGCACAUUGGGACUGAGACACAGCCCAGACUCCUACGGGAGGCAGCAGUGGGGAAUCUUCCGCAAUGGACGAAAGUCUGACGGAGCAACGCGGCGUGAGUGAUGACGACCUUCGGGUUGUAAAGCUCUGUUAAUCGGGACGCGGUACCGGAAUAGAAAGCCACGGCUAACUACGUGCCAGCAGGCGCGGUAAUUC